UCCAUUCUGCCAGGAUUCCUUGUUAAAAGAAUGCCUUAAUUCACUGGGGAAAUAUGCAUGGCUUCCUGCCAACGGUACUGAUGGGACAUUUUGGGUGGGCAAAGUAUGCGAACAAUAAACAAAAUCCUAAGAUAGUAAAUGCAGUGAAAAUAGUUGCUGCUGCUCCGUAGUGCUCCACCAAGGCAGCCCUCUGGUUCCAAACACAAACUGUUAAACAAAAGAAGGAGCAAGAGAUGGAAAAAACUCAGUUAUGCAAUACAAAAGUGGAGUAUUGAGCUGGGCAGGGGAUGUGCGAUUUGGAUAAUGAAGCAGGAGAAUGGAAAGCAAAGCUUAGCAUCUUGGAAAGAGACUGAGGAUACAGGGGGAGAAAGGAGCAGGAGGUGAUGACCAUCCCACGCUACCGGAAAUGCUGGAGGAAUAGUCCCGGCAGCCAGGAGGCCUUGCAAGGAUAAACUUCCCAUUGAAGAGUACCCACAACAGGCUGGGCUCCAGCAAGGGAACGCUACCUCGCAGAAUUGCUCCCAUGAAGAAUUUGGCAAUCCAGUACAGCUGCAUUCCCUCUUGACUCAUGUUCAGUUUGUAAUCAACCACCACUUCAAGUGAUUCUUCACAAAUGCUAUUACCAAAAAAAAAGGUGGCCUUGCGAUGUUUGUUCAACGCAACCAGAAGACAUGGCCUGAUUCAGCAGGGCCACGGGGCACCAACCGAGAACCAUUUGGAGGACCGUUACAGGAGAUCUCAUCGGCUGAGGGCUUCGCUGAGAGGAUCCAGAUUUGCCUGUGUCUAAACCAGGACCUUUUGGUGCGAUGACUUCAGAACACGAAGAAGUUGAUGUUGUGAAUGGACUAGCACUGAGUACCAAACAACAUGAGAAAGAUCAGGAGUCUGCCAAAAUCUGUACUGGAAAAGGAGCUGUGACCCUUUGGGCAUCUCCAGCUUCUGAGAAGAGUCUAAGAGUUAGCCAUCCAAAGUUUAUGCAGGAUGUCCAGCACACUGAAAUUCCUUCGGUCGAAGAGCAGGGAGGAACCAACGCAGAUGGCUGGAGAAGACUUUCUGGUCUUGACUCAAAUAGGGAGAUUCUGUCUGUGAAGGAUUACUGGAGUGUGAGACCAAACUUCUCUGAGAGCAAACCACAUGUAAGUAACUAAUAGAAAGCCUAGGUGGGUGUGAAUAAUGAGACGUGCAUGUGUUAUCUUCUUAGAUGUGCCUCUGACUUGUAAUUUUAGUAAUUUACAUUAAUAACAUAAAAUGUGGGAGCAACACCCAAGGAAUAUUACUUUUUAAAAUUGGCAUUUAAAAAACUGAACAGGAGGUUGUUUCUUGGUUGGUUUGUUUUCAUUAUUUAGUGUUUCUAAAGUGAUUUGAUAACAGUUGUCAAUCAAAUGUAUCAGGCAUGAACUCAGUUAGGAAUCCCUUCUGUACUGGGAACUUGGUCCACUGUAUUCUAGGUUGAGCUGGAAUAAGGACAAGAAUAAACUUAUGAUUUGCAUACUUUCCAAAGUAUACCUCCUGGGAGUCAUAAUCUUAAUCAUCUUAAUAACAUAUAGGAAGGCUGUGCCCAUCCUCUUUCUUUCCUUCACUAUCUCCCAAUCGUUAACCUUCUUCUAGUCUAAUUACACUGUUACUGUGAUCAAGUUUAGGCAAUUAGCUUCUACAUCUGAGUCUUGAUAAUUCAGUGAUUGUGUGGCCAAUUCUAUUUGAAUCUUUUCCCUUACAUAUUUAUGUAUUUUUUUGUUUAGACAUCUAAAUUUCUCUUGGCUUGUUUAGAUUUGGUAAUAGAAGUAUUAAUUUAUGAGAUAGGAAUGAAAAAUAGCUUGAACUGGAUGUAAUUCUAUUUUAGAUUCCUUGGGAGGAGCCAUAGUUUAUCACAUUCAGAUUUGAGAUUCACUUUUAAUCAGAUACAUCUAACUUUGUUAAGGCAUCCUUGGUUUUUCAGCUAGUUGUUAUGAAAGCAUUUUGCACUCUAUUACAUAGAAUAAUAGAAUCCUUGGGUUGGAAAGAACCCUGGUACAACCCUUCAAGGGCAGAAAUCCUCAGACCACCCUAGACAAAUGGCUGUCUAACCUCUGCUUGGAAACUCAUGGGUUGGAGCACCCAUGACUCCAGGGGUCUGUUCCAUUGCUUAAUAGAUCUCAGGGUCAGGAAAUUCCUCCUUAUUUCAUGUUUGGAUGACUGUCUGUAAAGCUUCUUAUUGUACCCUUGGGCACUACAGAGAGUAUAUUUACAACUUCUUCCUGUGAUAGCCUUUCAGUGUCUCUCCUUAGCUUUCUUUUCUUUAGGCAAAACAUACGUAGUUCCUUUAACUGUUCUUCAUGGGAUUUAGCCUCCAAGCCCCUUACUAUCUUACUUCUUCUUCUCUGCACUCUUUCUAGUUCCUCAGCAUCUUUCGGGUAUUGUGGCACAAAAACUGGACACAGUAUUCCAGGAGCAGUUUGACUAGUGCAGCAUAGAACAGAACUAUCAUGACCCAUGAUCACACUGUUUAUAACUCUGUUGAUGCAACCCAAGAUUGCAUUGGCUUUUUUGGCAGUUGUAACACACUGCUGGCUAAUGCUUAAUCUGUGGUCUACCAGGACACUCAGAUGUUUCUCACAAGUACUACUGCUUAGCCAGGUUCUGCCUAUGCUUGUACCUGUGCAACUGGUCUUUCCAACCUAAGUGCAGAACCUCACAUUUCUCUCCACUGAACAGUAUUUGUGUGGAUAGAGCCCAAUGUUCAAGUCUGUUUAGAUCCCUUGGAACCAUGAGUCUGUCUUUUAAGGUGUCAGCAAUCCCCCAACUCUGUGUCCUCUGCAGAUUUGAUGAACAUCAUUUCUAUCCCCCCAUCUAAGUCAUUUAUAAAAAAGUUGAAGAGCACUAGGCUCAGGACAGAAUCCCUCCAGGCUUUGUUUAAAUGCCUCCAGUGAAGGAAAGUCCACCCUCUCCUGAGGGUUUCAUUAUAGAAUAGCUUUUACUGUUACAACAUUUUUAUGAAAUCUCUUUCCUUGUACCUUAAGUCCAUAGUUUCUUAGUCUGCUUCUGGAACAAUUUUGUAUCUCCAUAACAGCUCUUCAGAUACUUGAAGCCAGCAUCAUGUUUCCUUGCUGUCUAAAUAUACCCAGUACUUCCAACCAUUCCUCUUAAGUUUUUCCUUCCUGCCUCUUAUCAUAUUGGUUGCUGUCCUCUAGGCUGGCCUUUCUAAAUUGUACCCAGAACUGGGCACAAUAUUCUGGGUAACUUGUAAUCAUCACAGAAUAGAGAAAAAUGUUG
Python bivittatus (Burmese python) is the source of this 3249-nucleotide non-coding RNA. The record is from RefSeq and is a predicted model, not a curated record. NCBI's taxonomy places the organism in Eukaryota, Metazoa, Chordata, Lepidosauria, Squamata, Pythonidae.